Molecule: ribosomal RNA, 403 nt
Filed under: uncultured bacterium
Lineage: Bacteria
Description: partial 16S ribosomal RNA
Rfam family: Bacterial small subunit ribosomal RNA
Source: RNAcentral
AUUGAACGCUGGCGGCAGACCUAACACAUGCAAGUCGGGCGAGCGGCGGACGGGUGAGUAAUGUAUGGGGACUGCCUGAUGGAGGGGGAUAACUACUGGAAACGGUAGCUAAUACCGCAUACCAUCAGAUGACCCCUAUGGGAUUAGCUAGUAGGUGAGGUAACGGAUCACCUAGGCGACGAUCCCUAGCUGGUCUGAGAGGAUGAUCAUCCACUGUGUGACAUAGACUCGUCCCGUAUUCCUUCGGAGGUAGGAGGGGGUAAUAUUGUACAAUGGGCGCUAGCGUGAUCGAGCCAUGCCGCGUGUAUGAAGAUGGCCUUAAGGUUGUAAAGUACUUUCAGUCGGGAGGCGUUGCCGACAGUAGAAGCACCGGCUAAAUACGUGCCAGCAGCCGCGGUAAUAC